UACGUAGGGUGCAAGCGUUGUCCGGAAUUAUUGGGCGUAAAGAGCUCGUAGGCGGUCUGUCGCGUCUGCUGUGAAAACUCGGGGCUUAACCCCGGGCCUGCAGUGGGUACGGGCAGACUAGAGUGCGGUAGGGGAGACUGGAAUUCCUGGUGUAGCGGUGAAAUGCGCAGAUAUCAGGAGGAACACCGGUGGCGAAGGCGGGUCUCUGGGCCAUAACUGACGCUGAGAAGCGAAAGCAUGGGGAGCGAACAGG
This 253-nucleotide ribosomal RNA is filed under the name uncultured bacterium. Its description in RNAcentral is "partial 16S ribosomal RNA". It matches the Rfam family "Bacterial small subunit ribosomal RNA", at positions 524 to 776 of the family's 1533-position model. The record is from RNAcentral.